UACGAAGGGGGCUAGCGUUGUUCGGAAUUACUGGGCGUAAAGCGCACGUAGGCGGAUCGUUAAGUUAGAGGUGAAAUCCCAGGGCUCAACUCUGGAACUGCCUUUAAUACUGGCGAUCUUGAGUCCGAGAGAGGUGAGUGGAACUCCUAGUGUAGAGGUGGAAUUCGUAGAUAUUAGGAAGAACACCAGUGGCGAAGGCGACUCGCUGGACAAGUAUUGACGCUGAGGUGCGAAAGCGUGGGGAGCAAACAGG
Molecule: ribosomal RNA, 253 nt
Filed under: uncultured bacterium
Lineage: Bacteria
Description: partial 16S ribosomal RNA
Rfam family: Bacterial small subunit ribosomal RNA
Source: RNAcentral